This 229-nucleotide ribosomal RNA is filed under the name uncultured bacterium. RNAcentral's name for it is "partial 16S ribosomal RNA". It matches the Rfam family "Bacterial small subunit ribosomal RNA", at positions 568 to 796 of the family's 1533-position model. The record is from RNAcentral.
UGCGUAGGCGGACUAAUAAGUCAGUGGUGAAAUCUUUCGGCUCAACCGGGAAACUGCCAUCGAUACUGUUAGUCUUGAGUUCGGUUGAGGUAGGCGGAAUGUGUAAUGUAGCGGUGAAAUGCUUAGAUAUUACACAGAACACCAAUUGCGUAGGCAGCUUACUAGACCGACACUGACGCUGAGGCACGAAAGCGUGGGGAGCGAACAGGAUUAGAUACCCUGGUAGUCC